AUGAAAUAGAGCGCCGUGUAUAUUUAUUUAUUUAAUCUUAAACGAGAAUUUAAUGAAAGAAGGCGAAGACGUUAGAAAACCUCCCCGGGUUGAAGGUUCGUAACCCCUUAUUAUUAUUAUUAUUAUUAAUUUCUCACUAAUUAGCAUUUUGCAAUUAGCAUGGGUAGAAAUUUUUUUUUUUUUUAAAUUAGCAUCAAACGAUAAAAAGGUCCCAGCUGUGACCAUCGCCUCGCCUCUUCAGGACUAUACAACGGGGAUUGAUUGGCUGUUAUUUCUAGCGUAUCUUAUGAGCGCGUAGAGGUUAUGGUAUAACUACAGUUUGAUGCCCCAUUUCUUUUUUAAUUUUUCUUUUCGUAACUCUCUGAAAAUUCAUAUAUUUUAAUGAAAUUUUGUAGAUGUAUAUUUUUGAGUAUGUAGCUUAUGAUUAUAUUAAUGAAACUUGUUUAAAACAAUUUUUUAAAGGACUUUUGCAUCAUUCUUCUCUCUCCUUCUCACUUUUAUUUCCUCAUAACUGUUUAAAAUGCAUAUUUUUAGAUGAUAUUUUGCAGAAAUUUAUUUUCGAGGGCAUCGAUUAAAAUUAUAUUCAUAGAAUUUGGAAAAAACAAUUAGAUUUUCGGGAUAGGUUUCGGAAUCGUUUUGUCAUUCUGCCUUGGCUCUGUUAGCACCAAUUUCUGUAGAUUUAGCACUUUUCACAUUCCUUUCAGAUUUCAUAUCUUAAACAUCAAAACUGUGUUAUCUACCAGAUCUACUGUACUAUCCAAUGAUAUAUUGCUGCAACAUUCCACUUAAAAGAUAUGCAUGUUUCGGGAAAUUAAGCGGAAAUAGUUGGUGGGGCAUUAUUCUGUACAUAUGCUCUUGUUCCUUCCUUACCGGAAUUUUUUCCCCUUGUCAGCACUUUCAGGACAUGUCAUACCUUAAUACGUGGCAACACUUCGUAACUCUUUUGUUACCAUAUUUCCGUUGAAAUUUUAAUGGAUUUUAAAAAACUUGGCGAUAUUCCAGAAUGUUCUUCACCGUUAGAAAACCAUUUGUGGGCGGAGACUUUUUCCCCUUUCGUGUUUUUUUUUUAGCCAGAAAGUAUUGUUUAUGAUCUUUUAUAGGGUCCCGAAAAACUGUUGUGGGUGGGGAGAAAGAUGUCUCCAAACCGGUCCGAAUGUUUACAACAGAAUGGAUUUGACUAAAGGUACUCGAUUCGCCAGGUUCUGAUGUUAAACCGGGCGAGAUGUUACGCCUUCAGACUAAAUUAGAAACGGUUAUUAUUAUUAUCGUUAUUGCACCGGACAAAAUGCUUAUUGACAUUUCUUCCGACUGCUGGCUCUCUGCCACAAUUUCAAACCACAUAGGUUGCGGAACACUGUUUUAUAUCAACAUUACUGCCCCUCUGAAGGCUGCGAGCUGGCAGAAUCGUUAGCACGCCGGACGAAAUAGCCGUUACGUUGUGAGUUCAAAUUCCGCCGAAGUCGACUUUGCCUUUCAUCCUUUCGGGGUCGAUAAAUUAAGUACCAGUUACGCACUGGGGUCGAUAUAAUCGACUUAAUACCUGGUCUGUCCAUGUUUGUCCCCUCUAUGUUCGGCCCCUUGUGGGUAAUAGAGAAAUAGGUAUUUCGUCUGCCGUUACGUUCUGAGUUCAAAUUCCGCUAAGGUCGAUUUUGCCUUUCAUCCUUUCGGGGUCGAUAAAUUAAGUACCAGUUACGCACUGGGGUCGAUUUAAUCCGUUUGUCUGUCUUUGUUUGUCCUCUUUGUGCUUAGCCCCUUGUUGGCAAUAAAGAAAUGGGUAUUUCGUCUGCCGCUACAUUCUGAGUUCAAAUUCCACCGAGGUCGACUUUGCCUUUCAUCCUUUCGGGGUCGAUAAAUUAAGUACCAGUUGCGUGCUAGGGUCGAUUUAAUCGACUGGGUCCCUCCCCAAAAAUUUCGGGCCUUGUGCCUAGAGUAGAAAAGCAUUAUUAUUAUUAUCAUUAAAGCGGGGAGCUGGCAGAAUCGUUAACAUGCUGGACGAAAUGCUUAGCGAUAUUUCGUCCGUCGCUAGGUUCUGGGUUCAAAUUCCACCGAGGUCGACUUUGCCUUUCAUCCUUUUGAGGUCGAUAAAUUAAGUACCUGUGAAACACUGGGGUCGAUGUAUUCGACAAGUACCUUCCCUAACAUUUCGGACCCUGUGCCUUCUGUAGGUGGUCAUUUAAGGAGGUCAGCUGACAGAAUCGUUAGCAUGUUGAACAAAAUGCUUAGCAGUAUUUCACCCAUCACUACAUUCAUCAUCAUCAUCAUCGUUUAACGUCUGCUUUCCAUGCUGGCAUGGGUUGGACGAUUUGACUGAGAUCUGACAAACCAGAUGGCUGCACCAGGCUCCAAUCUGAUCUGGCUGAGUUUCUACAGCUGGACACCCUUCCUAACGCCAACCACUCCAAGAGUGUAAUGGGUGCUUUUACAUGCCACUGUAAUGCACUGGUGAUCAAUGUAAUCAACUAGCCCACCCGCCCCCUUAAAUUUCAGUCCUUGUAUCUAUAACACCAAGAAUUAUUAUUGACAUUGUUUUGUUUGUUUUUAUCUUCGACAGAAAUUCCACCAACUGUUUCAAGAUGCGACAAUUAAAGGGUCAAGUGAAGAAAGAGUCGAAAAAAGAGAAGCGGGAGAGGAAGAAGGACUUCCUGGAGAACAAGCAGAAGGUCUUCACCAUUGUCCUACCUGUUUUCAUUCUCCUUGUCUGCUUAAUCAUCACAUAUGUAUACUUCAAGACAAAACCAGUGUCUACCUACUGAGAUCAACAACAUCCAUGGUUUUUCACUUCACAGAUCAUCUCUCAGCAUCUUUUCCAACAACGUAUCAAUCCCGAUAUCUGAAAUUCUUAUUGCUACACUGUCACUUUAAUACAUACAAAUACACACACACACAUAGAAAUAUGUGUGUGUUUGUGUGUAUGCAUGGUAUCCUAAGGCGUUCAUCUGGCAGAGUUGGUACAGCGUCGGAAAAAAUGCUUGGCGGUAUUUCUUCCGAUGGUAUUUCGUCUGCCGUUACG
Molecule: long non-coding RNA, 3010 nt
Filed under: Octopus vulgaris (common octopus)
Lineage: Eukaryota; Metazoa; Mollusca; Cephalopoda; Octopoda; Octopodidae
Source: RNAcentral